Molecule: long non-coding RNA, 284 nt
Organism: Zalophus californianus (California sea lion)
Lineage: Eukaryota; Metazoa; Chordata; Mammalia; Carnivora; Otariidae
Exons: 4
Source: RefSeq, a predicted model, not a curated record
CAGAAGAUUUGGAGAACAAGGAUUUUCAAAAGAAUGUGAGGCUGCCAUGCUGGAUGCAAGUAUUUGAGUUCUUUUCAGGCCUGGGAGCAAGAAAUGGAGGAGGAAGAGAGUGCAUUGGUAUGGAUCAACUCAAAGGGAAGAUUGAAGGCAUUUUCCAGCAUGGAUUUAGUAGAUUUUACUUGGUGCUGCAUCUCAGGGAGGUGAAGACCUUUGGGUUGCCAUGGUAACGGAGAGCAGGGACACGUGGGUGGCUCAGUUGGUUAAGUGUCUGCCUUCGGCCCAGG